RNAcentral lists this long non-coding RNA (310 nucleotides) under Phoenix dactylifera (date palm). RNAcentral describes it as "long non-coding RNA (PDAC_LNC008031)". Lineage: Eukaryota; Viridiplantae; Streptophyta; Magnoliopsida; Arecales; Arecaceae. The record is from RNAcentral.
CGGACAGUAUUAUUCUUGAGAGAGAUUUAGCCACGGUGAUCGAGUAGAUCCAGGGUCUAGGUUGUGCUGCCAGUGGGAUGUGGCUGUUUCAUGACAUCUGUAGUUUUUGGGUGAGUGCGCCUCCCAUCAGGCUAUUUAUGUUUACAGAGAAGUAAAUAGUAUUGCGGAUUGGGUGGCAUUCUAUAUGGCUCAUCACUCCAGCUAUUUUUUCUGGAAGAACCACGUUUUGUUCCAUAUUCCUUACAAUUUUUUUCUUCUUUCUGACUUUAUAGGCUAUACCCAUACCCGUUGUACCUAAGUCGCGGAUGUA